GACGAACGCUGGCGGCGUGCUUAACACAUGCAAGUCGAACGGAAAGGCCCUGCUUUUGUGGGGUGCUCGAGUGGCGAACGGGUGAGUAGCACGUGAGUAACCUGCCCUUGACUUUGGGAUAACUUCAGGAAACUGGGGCUAAUACCGGAUAGGAGCUCCUGCUGCAUGGUGGGGGUUGGAAAGUUUCGGCGGUUGGGGAUGGACUGGCGGCUUAUCAGCUUGUUGGUGGGGUAGUGGCUUACCAAGGCUUUGACGGGUAGCCGGCCUGAGAGGGUGACCGGCCACAUUGGGACUGAGAUACGGCCCAGACUCCUACGGGAGGCAGCAGUGGGGAAUAUUGCACAAUGGGCGGAAGCCUGAUGCAGCAACGCCGCGUGCGGGAUGACGGCCUUCGGGUUGUAAACCGCUUUCGCCUGUGACGAAGCGUGAGUGACGGUAAUGGGUAAAGAAGCACCGGCUAACUACGUG
This 468-nucleotide ribosomal RNA is filed under the name uncultured bacterium. RNAcentral describes it as "partial 16S ribosomal RNA". It matches the Rfam family "Bacterial small subunit ribosomal RNA", at positions 28 to 507 of the family's 1533-position model. The record is from RNAcentral.